CAGUAGCCACGGGAAUACGUAGGGUCCGAGCGUUGUCCGGAAUUAUUGGGCGUAAAGGGCUCGUAGGCGGUUUGUUGCGUCGGGAGUGAAAACCCAGGGCUUAACUUUGGGCUUGCUUUCGAUACGGGCAGACUUGAGGCAUUGAGGGGAGAACGGAAUUCCUGGUGUAGCGGUGAAAUGCGCAGAUAUCAGGAGGAACACCGGUGGCGAAGGCGGUUCUCUGGCAAUGUUCUGACGCUGAGGAGCGAAAGUGUGGGGAGCGAACAGGAUUAGAUACCCGUGUAGUCCCUGUCUCUUAUAC
This 301-nucleotide ribosomal RNA is filed under the name uncultured bacterium. RNAcentral describes it as "partial 16S ribosomal RNA". It matches the Rfam family "Bacterial small subunit ribosomal RNA", at positions 509 to 807 of the family's 1533-position model. The record is from RNAcentral.